Molecule: ribosomal RNA, 261 nt
Filed under: uncultured bacterium
Lineage: Bacteria
Description: partial 16S ribosomal RNA
Rfam family: Bacterial small subunit ribosomal RNA
Source: RNAcentral
CAACGAGUUGCGAACUCGCGAGAGUAAGCUAAUCUCUUAAAGCCGUUCUCAGUUCGGACUGUAGGCUGCAACUCGCCUACACGAAGUCGGAAUCGCUAGUAAUCGCGGAUCAGCAUGCCGCGGUGAAUACGUUCCCGGGCCUUGUACACACCGCCCGUCACACCAUGGAAGUUUGCAAUGCCCAAAGUCGGUGGCCUAACCAUUUGGAGGGAACCGCCUAAGGCAGGACAGAUGACUGGGGUGAAGUCGUAACAAGGUAAC